AACACAUGCAAGUCGAACGAGAAGAGAUGAGAAGCUUGCUUCUUAUUGAUUCGAGUGGCAAACGGGUGAGUAACGCGUAAGCAACCUGCCCUUCAGAUGGGGACAACAGUCCGAAAGGACUGCUAAUACCGAAUGUUGUAUCUCCUCCGCAUGGAAGAGAUAUUAAAGAUGGCCUCUACUUGUAAGCUAUCGCUUUGCGAUGGGUCUGCGUCUGAUUAGCUAGUUGGUGGGGCAACGGCCUACCAAGGCGACGAUCAGUAGCCGGUCUGAGAGGAUGAACGGCCACAUUGGAACUGAGACACGGUCCAGACUCCUACGGGAGGCAGCAGUGGGGAAUCUUCCGCAAUGGGCGAAAGCCUGACGGAGCAACGCCGCGUGAGUGAAGAAGGUCUUCGGAUCGUAAAGCUCUGUUGUCGGGGACGAAUGUUGAGACCUAGAACACAGGUUUCAAAUGACGGUACCUGACGAGGAAGCCACGGCUAACUACGUG
This 490-nucleotide ribosomal RNA is filed under the name uncultured bacterium. RNAcentral describes it as "bacterial SSU rRNA". It matches the Rfam family "Bacterial small subunit ribosomal RNA", at positions 50 to 507 of the family's 1533-position model. The record is from RNAcentral.